GAGAUUAACCUAAUCGGAUUACUGGGCGUAAGCGCGCGUAGGUGGCUUGAUAAGCCGGUUGUGAAAGCCCCGGGCUCAACCUGGGAACGGCAUCCGGAACUGUCAAGCUAGAGUGCAGGAGAGGAAGGUAGAAUUCCCGGUGUAGCGGUGAAAUGCGUAGAGAUCGGGAGGAAUACCAGUGGCGAAGGCGGCCUUCUGGACUGACACUGACACUGAGGUGCGAAAGCGUGGGUAGCAAACAGGAUUAGAUACCCUGGUAGUCCACGCCGUAAACGAUGUCGACCAGCCGUUGGGUGCCUAGCGCACUUUGUGGCGAAGUUAACGCGAUAAGUCGACCGCCUGGGGAGUACGGCCGCAAGGUUAAAACUCAAAUGAAUUGACGGGGGCCCGCACAAGCGGUGGAGCAUGUGGUUUAAUUCGAUGCAACGCGAAGAACCUUACCUACUCUUGACAUCCUGCGAAUUCGGUAGAGAUACCUUAGUGCCUUCGGGAACGCAGAGACAGGUGCUGCAUGGCUGUC
Molecule: ribosomal RNA, 520 nt
Filed under: Vreelandella aquamarina
Lineage: Bacteria; Pseudomonadati; Pseudomonadota; Gammaproteobacteria; Oceanospirillales; Halomonadaceae
Also listed under: 1 other name
Description: bacterial SSU rRNA
Rfam family: Bacterial small subunit ribosomal RNA
Source: RNAcentral